UACGAAGGGGGCUAGCGUUGUUCGGAAUUACUGGGCGUAAAGCGCGCGCAGGCGGCUAUCUAAGUCAGUGGUGAAAGCCCGGAGCUCAACUCCGGAACUGCCAUUGAAACUGUUUAGCUUGAGGAUGAGAGAGGUGAGUGGAAUUCCCAGUGUAGAGGUGAAAUUCGUAGAUAUUGGGAAGAACACCGGUGGCGAAGGCGGCUCACUGGCUCAUUACUGACGCUCAGGCGCGAUAGCGUGGGGAUCAAACAGG
This 253-nucleotide ribosomal RNA is filed under the name uncultured bacterium. RNAcentral's name for it is "partial 16S ribosomal RNA". It matches the Rfam family "Bacterial small subunit ribosomal RNA", at positions 524 to 776 of the family's 1533-position model. The record is from RNAcentral.